GUAUUCCUCAUCUCGAAUCAUUCCUUUGAAACGAAGCUUCUCUUCUUCCUCUCCAAGUCUCUCUGUUCUCUCCUCCCCUCUCUGCCGAUCCCCUUUCUCUUUGGUGUGUUACAGCGUCCCCGAAGUGGCUCCCGUACUCCUCCGCGGGUGGGGGCGGAGCGAGGCGUGGCUCCGGCGCGCUGCCACCGGUGGUGGUCCUCGUCUUCCUCUUCGUCAUCGCGCCGUCGAUCUUCUUUGUUGUGCGCAGUGGCAGCAACGUCCAUGUCGCGUUUGGUUCGACCCGUCUCACUCCCUAGACCACUUCUGUUGGAGGAACCACUUCAGCCAUGUAUUUCGUACGAGGCACCACCGAUUCUUAAUUUGGGGUCCCGUUGCGUCAGGUUGGUCCAUCCGCGCUUUGGUGCGCCUGGGCCACGAGUUUGAUGCGCUUCUGCGGGUUUAAUUUGGUGGUAUGCUUGCUAGUUCCUUCUACUGGCAUCUCCAUCUCUCACCACCAUUGCGUAGAUAGAUUAGCAGGAUCAGCUCACUGGAGACUAGUAGAGAGCAUACCAAGCUCACAUUUUCAGAAUUGCUGUGUGCACAAACACAUUUUCAGACUAGCAGAAAGCUGCCACCACAACCUCUAUUUGCAUGCAUCGUUACUUAGCUUGGAAGAAUGACUACACACGUAUGCAUUCUAAUGAUCACAUACAUGUAUCUAGCUCUCCCCAUAAAAUAUUUGCAUGCAUGACAAAGCUCCAACACGUACACUCUCAUGCUUACUUAGAUUAGAAGCAUUCUGUACAAGACAAACUACUAUAUGUUAGUAUUACUUACACUGUGUGUGUUCUAGCAUGUUAAAUUUAACAUUCUAAUAUAUUUCUUUGAAACAAUAGUCUGGCAUAACUUAUUUACUCCACUUUUUGAAACAGUAAUAAUAUUGAAUUAUUCAUAUAUUAAUCUAAAAUAAUAACCAAACAACUAGAGGACAGUGGAUUAGUAGCAUGCAUGUGUGACUUAGUUUUUGGUGUGUUUUGCUUGCAGGUCAUUGUUGUGAAGGCUGCCACGGGAAGGAGUGGGGGAUUUGGCACAAGGCCGGUGAUUGAGUCUAUGCUCUCUCCUCCAUGGAAAGACCUAAAUUCAGCUUGACAGAGAGCACACGAUUGGUUUCAGCUUGAUAGGGCGAGUUCCGCGAGGAGUUCGUAGCAGAAGAACCCCAAGAACAAGUCCGUCGCCGCCGUCGGCAAAGCAGCCGGUGGGAGGUGGAAGAGCUUGAGCGAAUCGCAUCCAUGGCCAGUGCACAAUCAUCAUGUUCCUUGCUUACAAGAUGGCAGUGUGAGGAAGCUGUGUGAUGGUCAUGCUCUGUGCUUUCUUGCAGGGCCGGCUGAGCGAUGCGGCGGUGAAGGUGGUGAACGAGAUGCUGCCGUCGGGCGCCGUCGACCAACCACCCAAGGCAAAGAAGAACUCAACUCACUGGAUGCAGGGAAGGAGAUGGAGGGUGACACACAGCCAUGGAGAGGAGCAGCAGUAGCUCAAGAUAUUUUGAGUAAAUUCAAGACGAAAGAUGUUCAAAGAAGCUCCAAGACAUUCUUAUAUAGCAAGUUAUGUAAUAAUAGCUGGGUUAUCUGGGAAUUUAAUGUAUCUUCUCUCUGUUUGUGAAUGAAAUAGUAAUUAUGUAUGUGAAUUAAUGUAUCUUCUCUCUGUUUGUGAAUUUCAUGUAUGUUUCAGAAUUA
Molecule: long non-coding RNA, 1712 nt
Organism: Triticum aestivum (bread wheat)
Lineage: Eukaryota; Viridiplantae; Streptophyta; Magnoliopsida; Poales; Poaceae
Exons: 6
Source: RefSeq, a predicted model, not a curated record